CUUAAUAGUUCUACCAAUUACAAGCUCUAAUAAAGAUUUAUGGCUAGUGAUGGACCAAGUUGGGCAGAUCAAUGGGGUGCAGGAGGGAUAGGUGCCAUGGAUGAAGAUGACAGCUAUUAUAAGAGCAACAAAGACAGUGAAAACAACAAGAAAGCCACUACUUCAUCAUCAUCAGGAAUUGGCAAAGUCAAAGCUGUGGCAGUGGCUGGUGCACACAAGGUGAAAAAUGGUCCUUCCAUGUUGAUCAAAUGGGUUAGGAGCAAAUCACAGAAGAAAAAUUCCUCCAUUUCAUGAAAUAAGGAGGAUCAAGGAUUAUCUAGCCUUCUGUAAGAGGAUUUCAGAUCAAACAUGUCUAUUUAUGGAUUGUUAUGCUUCGUUAUAACUCGACUUGUUGAGUUUAACCAAUUUCAUUUGGUUAGUGUGGCUAGCUCCUGGUAGUAGUUUGCUUCUGGGUGAGUUUAAGUUCCAUGCACUGAUGAUGUAAAGAAUAUGUAUGCAAUCAGAUUACUAAUAAGGUAAUUACAAAUUGUUCUCUUUAA
Long non-coding RNA from Solanum stenotomum, 539 nucleotides. RefSeq lists it as uncharacterized. The record is from RefSeq and is a predicted model, not a curated record. Lineage: Eukaryota; Viridiplantae; Streptophyta; Magnoliopsida; Solanales; Solanaceae. The transcript is spliced from 2 exons.